CAGCCGCCGCGGGAAUACGAAGGUCCCAAGCGUUGUUCGGAAUCACUGGGCGUAAAGGGAGCGUAGGCGGCGUGGUAAGUCAGAUGUGAAAUCCCGGGGCUCAACCCCGGAACUGCAUCCGAUACUGCCAUGCUUGAGGGUUGGAGAGGUGACUGGAAUUCUCGGUGUAGCAGUGAAAUGCGUGGAUAUCGAGAGGAACACUCGUGGCGAAGGCGAGUCACUGGACAACAUCUGACGCUGAGGCUCGAAGGCUAGGGUAGCGAAAGGGAUUAGAUACCCCUGUAGUCCCUGUCUCUUAUAC
This 301-nucleotide ribosomal RNA is filed under the name uncultured bacterium. RNAcentral's name for it is "partial 16S ribosomal RNA". It matches the Rfam family "Bacterial small subunit ribosomal RNA", at positions 509 to 807 of the family's 1533-position model. The record is from RNAcentral.